GCACGAUUAACUCAGGGGUAGAGUGCCACCUUCACACGGUGGAAGCCGUUGGUUCAAAUCCAACAUCGUGCA
RNAcentral lists this transfer RNA (72 nucleotides) under Treponema porcinum. It matches the Rfam family "tRNA". Rfam says of the family: Transfer RNA (tRNA) molecules are approximately 80 nucleotides in length. The record is from Rfam by way of RNAcentral. Lineage: Bacteria; Pseudomonadati; Spirochaetota; Spirochaetia; Treponematales; Treponemataceae.